UAUUGGACAAUGGGGGCAACCCUGAUCCAGCCAUGCCGCGUGAGUGAUGAAGGCCUUCGGGUUGUAAAGCUCUUUUGGCGGGGACGAUGAUGACGGUACCCGCAGAAUAAGCCCCGGCUAACUUCGUGCCAGCAGCCGCGGUAAGACGAAGGGGGCUAGCGUUGUUCGGAAUUACUGGGCGUAAAGCGCGUGUAGGCGGUUUGCCAAGUUGGGUGUGAAAGCCUUGGGCUUAACCCAAGAAAUGCACUCAGUACUAGCAGACUAGAGGACCGGAGAGGAUAGUGGAAUUCCCAGUGUAGUGGUGAAAUACGUAGAGAUUGGGAAGAACACCAGUGGCGAAGGCGGCUAUCUGGACGGUUCUGACGCUAAGACGCGAAA
RNAcentral lists this ribosomal RNA (378 nucleotides) under uncultured bacterium. RNAcentral describes it as "bacterial SSU rRNA". It matches the Rfam family "Bacterial small subunit ribosomal RNA", at positions 362 to 758 of the family's 1533-position model. The record is from RNAcentral.